GAGUGCUGCCCACUGAUCAGCUAGACACUUUAAUGUAUGUGUUAUUUUAUUCUCUCUUCUGUUUGGUUUGGCUUGAGUCAGUCCUACUAUAUAGUAACCCUGGCUGGUCUGGAACUCACUGUGUAGACCAGGAUGGCCUUGAAUUCACAAACAUCCCCUUGCUUCUACCUCCUGGGUGCUGGAAUUAAAGGUGUAUACCAUUAUAUCCCCCACCCUCACCCCGUUGUAGUUUUUUUGUUUUGUUUUGUUUGAGGAAGCGUCUUGUCUGGAGUCCAGGCUGGCCUUGAACUCCCUAUGAGGCCCAAAAUAGUCUUGAAUUCAAAAUCCUUAAUCCUUCUGCUAUAGCCUCUGAAGUGUUAUAAUUAUAAGCACCAUGACAUCGUGUUAGAUCUACCUUUUGCUACUAGUGAUUUUAGUAUUGUAAAAACAGAGUACUUCACUGGGUGUGGUGGCGCACGCCUUUAAUCCCAGCACUCGGGAGGCAGAGGCAGGCAGAUUUCUGAGUGCAAGGCCAGCCUGGUCUACAGAGUGAGUUCCAGGACAGCCAACGCUGCAGAAAAACCCAAAAAACCAAAAAAACCAAAAAACCUCCAAAAACCCAAAAAAACCAACAGAGUACUUCAUUGUGAAAAUUAUAGUGAAGUUAUUAAGAAAAUGACAACUAUAUUCUGUCCUUAAAAGGUCUCUUUUAAACAAUGGUGUAUAUGUAUAGAAAUGUAACAAUACCCAUUAUUUUGUAUGCUAGCUAAAAAGUUAAUUUUAAAAAAUCGUAUUUAGACAUUGUACAUUUAAAGUAAAAGAUUCAUGUGUGAUUAAUGUAUUAGAAUCUGUCAAUAAGUAAAAGAGCCAUUCUUGGCAAAUAGUUGCUGACAAAAUCACCAAUUUUUUUUUUCUUUAAAGAAAGAAAGCACUGACAAUAGAAAUUGUUAUUCAGGCUUACUAAGAUUUUUGUCUUGCAGGAACUUGUUUUGGGGGUUGUUUGUGUUGUUUUCUUUCUUGAGAAGGCGUCUCAAGAACCCUAGGCUAGCCUCAACCUAUAUUUAGCUGCUCCUCCUUUCUCUACCUUUGAAGUGCUAGGAUCAUAGAUGUAUACCACCAUAGCUCUGUCUUCUUUCUUCUAGACACACAGGUUGACCAGAUGUCUGGUCUGGACUCCCCCCCACCCCCCUCCCAUUGUGAGGUACUAUAUCCAGCAUAUUCUAACACUUCUAAAAGCAGACUCCAUACCAAACAGACCAUGGUACCUAAUGCCUGUGCUCUCAGUCGUAGGAGGCUGAAGCAGGAGGAUGGACAGUUCCAGAGACUUUGGUUGAAUGGAUGAAUGGGUAUCAUCCAAGCACAGAGUUGCAGUUACUGCAGAGGCUAGGCAGCAUACAUGCCAAGCCCCGUGCUGGCUGCUAUGGGGCACCGCACAGACCUGAAGUCCAUAUAAGUUCAGGCUCUAUGUGGUAAUCUCCCCACCACGACUGUAGGUAAGGGGCUGUGCCUGUAUCCACUGUACCCCACCCAGCCUAGACAGCUGACCUCAAAAGCCCAGAAGGUGGCAGGUAGGUGUGUGCCUAAAUUCUACAUUAACAUGACCAUAGACACUUUCAGUCUAAACCUUACUGUUUUAGAAAUGGCCAUUUAUAGUGUUUCAAAGAUUUGGGUUACUGGGUCUUGCAAGAAACUGUUCCUGAGGUAAGCACUGAAUGAAGCAGGCAUGUGAUUGCUUUAGAUUAUUUCAGUGUGAAAUUUCUGUAAAAAAAAAAAAAUACACAAGUUUAAGGUAGGCAUGGUGGCACACAUCUUUAAUCCCAACAACUGAGUAGGCAGAGGCAGACGGAUCUCUUCAAGUUCAAGGCUAGCCUGGUUUAUAUACAGGAGUGCUCACUCUAGAUAGGUAGGUAGGUAGGUGGGAGGUAGGGAGGUAGAUAGGUAGAUAUCUCUGAUUCGAAUGUAAUCAAACAUAGACAAUCUGAAUUCUAACACUUAUCCAGGACCACUCAGACCUGAGAACUGUUACCUGAUCUUAUGCUAAAUAAGAACGGAGUCUGUCUGAGAGUUGCUGUGAGGGCUGCUGGUUUGUCUGUCUUAGGUCUCCUCAAAGCCCAGCAGGUGCCCUUCCAGAACUAGGUGGUCAGUGGCUGUGCUGGAGGAGGCCCCUUUCAGGCUACAGGCAGAGAAUAACAGUGUCACAUUGGGGGACAUUAUUCCUCCUGAUGUUAAGAAAAUAACUCUUCAACAGAAGUCACAUCUUAAGUGAUAAUUGGUUGUUUUGUUUUGUUUAAUUAAAGCUUCAAAGCAAGAUUAAAGAUUGAAUUUAGGUAGAAUUAGCAUUAAUAGUCAAUCUUUUCUGUAAUUUAUAACAAGAAAAAAAAAGUGUCCCCAAAGUUAUGGUUAGGUUAGUUAAAUAUUGUAGUAAGGAGAGAAAUCCAUGGAGACCUCAGGAUAAUAAGCAGGGGUUAGCAGAAAGGUGACACUGUUCAUUUCUGUGACAUUUCUGGCUAAACAAGCUUUUGUAGACCCGCUGGGAAUGUAACCACUAUUUCCAUGGGAAAAUAAAUUCCAGGUUCCAGACAAGUAAUUUAGAGAUGCUGUGGAACACAGCCACUAAUAAGUUUAGACUUGUGUGCUCCAGAGGCCCCAUCACACCAUUGUGAUAGAUAGCCAGAGUUCAGCAGUAAGGGGAAAUGGGGUAAAUCGACUCUUACAGAUAAAAUGAAGAUUAACUAUGAUCAUAGCUCAGAAGAGAAGACUGUCAAAGACCGAAACCAUCAUAGCACAAAAGAAAGGGAAACCCCAGUGAUUCGGAUCAGACCGGUCCCCUUACUCUGUAUGCAGUGCUGCUCCUAGGUGUCACAUGAUAUUAUAGAUAUUUGUGGUUUGUUUUAUUCUGUUUGUUUUGUUCUAGUAAGAGAGACAAGGCCUCAGACUAGCCUGGAAUUAACGCUGUAAACCAGACUGGCCUGGAAACUGUGGCAGUCUUUCAGUCCCAGACUCCCAAGUGUUAGGAUUGCAGGCAUUCAUUAGCCAUCAUGUCUGGCUUUAUUUUAGACUUAGAACCAGAAGGAGGAACAGUGCAGUGGCUCACUUGCUGCACUACCCUGGCAACCUGGUUCAAUCCCUGGCCCCCAGAUAAAGGUGAUAGGAGAGGUCUGACUGCACCAAGCUGCCCUCUGACCCUCACAUGUGCACCGUGGAACUCAGGCCUCUACGCUGCCACACAAUAACGAAUAAUUCUCUAAUCAGAAUAGGAAAGAGAUGAGGCCAGAGCCUUCUGUUUGCCUGCUACUCUACUGCCUCUUGUGCCUUCAUCUCUGACUUAAGGUGACAGGGCAGAGCGUUGCCCAGCAUACCCAAGGCCUAGAGUUUGGUCCCCAGCCCUAGUUUAAAAAAGGCUUAAUAUAGUGUGUCUGCAUGUGCUUCUGGACUGGAUCAAAAACAGUGACAGGAAACACUGCUGCUAUGUUGAUAAGGGUAAAAUGUGUGGCAUCACCACACAUGAGAUAGACACACACACACACACAGAAAGAGAGUUGCUGGCAGCACUAAAUACAUCCAUGGGAACUUGUUGGCUAAUCAGGAUACGUCCCACCUAGAACAUCUCAUCAAAAUGUAGUAUGCCCAUGCUAUUAUAUUAAGAUCACCCUGUAAAAUAGACAUGAAGGAGCUGACAAGAUGCAUGGAAUCAUGGGGGCAGGGGGUGCAAUGCAAAAGUUUUUUUCUUGUGGAAAAUCAAAAUAAGUAGGUGUUGUGUGUUGUAGUUUAACUGUGAAAUGCCACAACCUAUCCUACACUGGCCUUUUUUGCCCACUGACAACCUUGUAGGAAGUGAUUAGUAAUUAAAUCUGGAUUUGUAGAUGGAUUGACCCACUGAUAGUUGAUAGUCUGAUGGCAUUGUUGAGUUCUGGUUGGAAGAAGUGGGCCACUGAUGGUGUGCCUUUGAGAAAUGAGUCUUGUUCCUAGCAGUGCUUCUAGGUUCCUGCUUCCUGGUUGCCUGGACGUGAGCAGCUUUACUCCUGUAUACUCAUCUACCAUGAUGCUCUGCCCCAUCAUGACCUAGAAACCUCUGAAACAGUGAGCCAAAAUAAAUCUGCCCACCCUUUCAGUUGUUUCUUUCUUUAUUUGGCACUUCAAAGGAAGUCUAAACACAACUGGGUUGAUACUAAAGUCCAUGAAAGAAGAUUCUUUUUUUUUUUUCAAGAUUUUUAUUUAAAUGAGUACACCAUUUCUGUCUUCAGACACACCAGAAGAGUGCAUCAGAUCCCAUUACAGAUGGUUGUGGGCCACCAUGUGAUUGCUGGGAUUUGAACUCAGGACCUCUGGAAGAGCAGUCAGUGCUCUUAACCACUGACCCAUCUCUCCAACCUAGAAAGAAGAUUCUAAACAUUGUUUACCCAUGAGUCAAAAAGAAUGUGUGGAUCUAAAGAGAGAUGUGUAAGAAAGAAGGAAGUGCUGGAGAGAGAAGGAGAAACGAAAGGUGUCAGGGGUGUUUUGUUUAUGUUGUUUUUGCUUUAUUUGGAGACAGGCUCAUAUAGCCCAUGAUGACCUAGAACUCUGUAGCCAAGGUUAGCCUUGAACUUUUGAUCCUUUUGCCUCCAUGUAUAGACUCCUGGCAUUGCAGGCAUGAACCAACAUAGCCAGUUCAUGCAGAACUGAUUGAUGAUAGGACCCUAUCUCCCCAGCAAGCCCCAGUCAUACAGAGCUUAUUUUAAAUAUUGGCGCAAGUGGAUUUAAAGGGUAACUUUUUUUUUCCCCAAGUUUUGCUGUCGCUAUAGAUGGCUCUGUACCAUAACAAAAAUUUUAUAAGACUGUCUUUCAUUAUACAAGUGUCCUUUAGAUCAUUGGGUGUUUGGGGGUGGCAGAUGACAACACAUGAUGGGGACCCAACCUUUCAACUGAGAAAAUAAAAGCCAACCUUCCCAUAGUCAUGAACCAUCUCUGUGUCCACAGGAGUUGUAGGCCUGUUCUAAGUGUAUGAGGAGCAGUUAUGUAAUUUACUACCAACAGAAUUUAUCCUUCAAAUGUUGCAACAAUGGGUCACCUCCGUUUGUGGUAGGACACACAGGUGCUUCCUGUUGCCCUGCCCAGGACGAUGUUAACAUCAACCUCAGAGAAGGCCGUUGGACCAGCCUGGAGCCAAAUAAUAGCCACUGUGUCUGUAUUGAGGAGGUAGGGAGAACUGUCUCUUAAAAUGUAUUUAUUUGUUUCUGGUUUUGAGAGAAGAUUAUCACAUUAUAUGGCUCUGGGUAGCCUAAUACUGUGUACCCCAUGCAGGCUGCAAAAUCACAGUAACCCUCCCAACUUAACUUGACUAACACUGAACUCAGAGGCAAGCACCGUUGUGCCCAAGAGCAGGACUGGAGAGGUAGCCCAGCAGUUAAGAGCACACCAAAGGACCUGGGCUCAAUUCCAAGCACUCACAGUGUCUAACAACUGUCUAUAACUCCAGUUCCAAAGGAUCCAACACCCUUUUCUGGCCACUGUGGGCACCAGGCAAGCAUGCAGUAUACAGACAUACAUGUAUAAAAAAACACCCAUACUCAUAAAAUAUAAACAAAAUUUAAGAGCAAUAAAUCUGAGUGUUUUAUACAACAAUAGUUACUAGUAGUCAGGUAAGUUAUCACAAGUAAGUGUGUCGACCCCUGAAAUAAACUAAGAAAACAAUUCAUGGCAGCCAUAACAGUGCACACUCAUAUCCCAGUAUGAAAGAGGUUGAGGCAGGCUAAUACUGUGAGUUCAGAAGUUCAAGACCAGCUUGACCAACAUAGUGUAACUCCAUGUCAAAGUAAGAAGGGCUGAGGGUGUAGUUCUCUUGGUAGUGUGUUUGCCUAGCAUGCAUAAAGCCCUGGGUUCAAUCCCCAGCACUGUAUAAACGGGGUGUAGCAGUCUGUACCUAUAAUCCCAGCCGCUAAAGGCAAGAAGAUCCAAAGUUCAAGGUCAUGGUCAGACACACACAUACACACACAGUUUCAAACCAUGUGGGGUUGGGCGUGGGAGAAGGAAAGUAGAAUGUAGAAUGUAGAAUGGCGGGAUACCAUUCUAAGAAACACCAUGUAACUGUUCUCACAGGCCAUUUGUCUUUUUGUUGCUACUGUUAGAAGGAAGUUUCCGUGUUCUUUGUGUGUAUACAUAAACAUAUAGAGUACAUACGUGUUCUAACAUGGAGUCUUCAUUUUCUGCUGGAGGAGUAUGCUACUAUUCUCUUUUGCUUCAAGAAUAUCUUAGCUGAGAUGAGAAAAAUUAAGAUUCUUUAAAGACAUAUCUAUUUUAUGUGUCCGAGUGUUUUAUCUACAUGUAUGUAAAUGCAAAUGCCCUCAGAAGCCAAAAGGUGCUGGUGCUGGCUCCUGAGGCUGCAGUUAGAGUAGUUGUAAGGCAACGUGUGGGUGCUGGAAACGAAACUGGGUCUUCAACCAGAGCAAUAAGGAAAAGUGAAUGAUUCUUUUAAGCAGGGAGGAACAAUUUGUGUAUUUAUUGUUCCAUUUGCUGAGCUCUUUGCCCAAACAAUAUUUCUAGUACUGUUGGUCACAGUGACACAUACUUGUCUGUCUGUAGUCCCAGAUUUUCUAGAGACAGAAGCAACAGAUCACUACAGCCCAAGAGUCUGAAGUCUGUCUGGGCAAUAGAACAAGACCCAGAGAGUAGAGAGAGGGAGAAGGAAGAAGAGGGAGGCGGAGGAAGAGAGAGAAAGAGCGAAAAAGCAAACAGCAUGUAAGCAUUCUGGACAUGUGUGGGGUUUCUCAUUUCAACCAAUUCUCCCAACUCUCUGGUUAUAACAGAGUAUCCUACAGCUCAAUCAAAAGUGACACUGUGACACCAGUUACCAGGAGUUAUCAUCAGACCCCACAGGUUUAGUCGCUCAGUCACACAAGACAACCCUCACUUCAGGUGCUAGUCCCUAGUAUCAGGUCCUCAGGCUACCCCCACUAACAUCCCACGUGGCCAAAGUGAGGUUGACCUACAACCUCUAGUUUGAAGAUUUGCUAGAACUCAUUAUACAAACAGCAACACUCCUGGUUUAUUAUAGAGUCUAACCCUGGAACAACCAAAUGGAAGAACAAGAUGGCCAGGACACUGUGGAGGUGCUGGAGAGGCACAGGGUUUCGGUGUCCUCUCUGGACACAUCAGCCUCUGAGCUCAGGUGUGUGGUCUCCAUCCUGGAAGCUUCCAUACCCCGGCAUCCGGGAUACUGAUGGCCAGACACGUAGACAUGCUUAAUUAUUAACUCCAUCUCCUGCCCCUCUUCCUUCCCCGAGGCCAUGGGGUAAGCAAAGCUUCCAGGCCUCUGAUCAAGGUUUGGUGUAUCUGGUCUCCAGUUAUUCCUAAGUUGUUUGGGGACAGGUCAAGAGUAACUCACUAGAAAGAUACUCUUUUGACCCGAGAAUUCCAAGAGCUUUCAGAAGUCUGUGGACCAGGAACAAUGGCCAAAUAUCAGCACAGGAGGCACACACAUCUGUCAUCUGGAAGUUAUGUGGGGCAGAGAGGCUUUGUGUCAGGAAACAAGGAUAAAGAGCAUGUAUAUGUUUCUUAUGCAAUAUAUUCAUACACACUAUUUUGAAAUAAAGCAAGAAACAGUCAUCUAGCGCUGGGCCUGGAGAGAUGGCUCAGUGGUUAAGGGUCUAGAUUCAGGACCACGCAGAGGCUCAGUCUGUAACCCUAGUUCCAGAGGCUCUGAGGAUAGAGGAGCCUGGGGGGGAAGCACAGUGAUGACACCCUUACAUCUCUUACCCAUAAUGGACUACUAAAGCUUUUUUAAAAAUUGCUUUGCUAAUGUAUUAAUUGCCCUAAUUUUCACUUUUGGAUUAUUCUCAUUAACAGGUACUUNUCUUCUUCUUUUUUUUGGUUUUUUGAGACAGGGUUUCUCUGUGUAGCCCUGGCUGUCCUGGAACUCACUCUGUAGAGCAGGCUGGCCUCGAACUCAGAAAUAUGCCUGCCUCUGCCUCCCAAGUGUUGGGAUUAAAGGCGUGCGCCACCACACCUGGCUCUCUAUUUUAUUUGUGUGUGUGUGUGUGUGUGUGUGUGUGUGUGUGUGUGUGUGUGUGUUUACAUGGGCCUUGGCAUGUGGAGAUCAAAGGGUAACUUUAAGGAGUUAUUUUUUUUCCGUCACAUGGGGAUCCCAUUCAGCUGGCGAGGUGUCUGUCUUUCCCCACUGAGCCAUCUCACCAGCUAUUGGCUAAGAGUGUGUCAGCACACUACAAACACUUUUGUUUUAAGAAGGAAAAUCUUUUACUGGGCCUCAUGGCAUAUUUUUUUUUUUUUUUUUUUGAGAUGCGUCUCAAGAUGUACUCUGGGUGGCCUCAUACUUGCUAUGUAGACCACACUGGCCUGAAACCCAGGCCUCUUGCCUCUGCUUCCCCAGUGUGGCAUGCACUUUUAAUCGCAGCUCAGAGGCAGAAGCAGAUGGAUCUCUAUGAGUUUGAGGCCAGCCUGGUCUACUUAGUGACUUCCAGGCUAGCCAGGGCUACAAAAAUACAACAAAGAAAUGCUUUCUUUUCAAUUACAGAUAAUGGGUAUGUGCAGGUGAAUGCUGGUGCCCUCAGGGAUCAGAAUCCCCAGGAGCUGGAGUUACAGGGGAUUGGGAGCUGCCCUGUGUAGGUCCGGGUACUGAAUGAGUCCUCUGCAAGUGCAGUCAGUACUCUUAACCACUGAGCCAUCUCUCCAGCCCCUGUAAAUACUUUCCAUCUUAACAUCUGGAAGGACCAGCAAGAAGGCUCAGCAGGUAAAGACACCUGCUACCAAGCCACAUGGCAGAAAGAAAACCAACUCCUCCUGAAAAUUGUCAUCUGACCUCCGCUUGUGUGCCACGAUGUGCACACACACACACACACACAAGCUAUAACUGGUGUGUUCCUGUAUUUUGUUAGCCGUCUAUCCUCAGAGCUCCUCAGUUUCACACUCUUUCCUUCCCAGCGACUCAGUCCUUCCUGUCUUUCCUGACCUCAUCACUCAGGAAGACUACUGAUCUUAAUUUGGUAGAAUUGGUACUUUGGUUUUUUUCCAGUGUUUUUUGUUUGUUUGUUUUCAUGAUUAGAUGAGGGUUGGUAUAUUUUUGCAAGAAUCUCAGAUGUAAUGACCUUUAGGUGAUGUCAAUGUAUUAUUAUUAAUAAUUAUAUCAUUUUCUAUCGCCUCCAUAACAAGUUACCACAGAUUUGCUGUCUGAAAGCAACACCCAUUUCUUAUCUCAGCUUCUGGUGGUCAGAACUAUGAGUAACUUGUGCAAUGCUAAAGUUCCUCUGUGGGUCGGACAGCCUUCUCCUCCAGCUUAGGUACUUGCCAGUUCCUUUCUCUAAGCUACUAGGAGAUGUUUCCAUAGGAUUGCCACAUGACCCCCCAUCUACAAAGGCAGCAGCUGUCCCUGCAAACAGACCUCACACUUUCCCUACUUCUAGACUCAAGUUUGAAGUGUUGCAUAAAGUUGGGCAUAUGACACAUCCCUGUAAUCCCACCGCCUGGAAGGCAGCCUGAAGCUAAGGACUGCUGCAAAUCUGAGUCCAGCCUAGAGUACAAACUGAGACCACAAUGUGAGACCCUAUUUCAAAGAAAGAAAGGAUGGGGACAGAGGAAGGGAGGGAGGGAAAAUGGUUGUCUCCCCUAGAGUUGUUUUUACUGGUGGUGAUAAGCCAUCCAGUGGUGGUGCUGGGAUUGAACUUGAGUCCCCGCAGAAGCAGUACAAGCUCUCAACCACUGAGCCGCAUCUGCCACAUGGUUUUAUUUUUUUAUUUAAAAAUAAAAAUAAAAAAAAAACCCUAAGAAAA
Molecule: long non-coding RNA, 9737 nt
Filed under: Mus caroli (Ryukyu mouse)
Lineage: Eukaryota; Metazoa; Chordata; Mammalia; Rodentia; Muridae
Description: lncRNA (MGP_CAROLIEiJ_G0004392.1)
Source: RNAcentral